GACGAACGCUGGCGGCGUGCCUAAUACAUGCAAGUUGAGCGCUGAAGGUUGGUACUUGUACCAACUGGAUGAGCAGCGAACGGGUGAGUAACGCGUGGGGAAUCUGCCUUUGAGCGGGGGACAACAUUUGGAAACGAAUGCUAAUACCGCAUAAAAACUUUAAACACAAGUUUUAAGUUUGAAAGAUGCAAUUGCAUCACUCAAAGAUGAUCCCGCGUUGUAUUAGCUAGUUGGUGAGGUAAAGGCUCACCAAGGCGAUGAUACAUAGCCGACCUGAGAGGGUGAUCGGCCACAUUGGGACUGAGACACGGCCCAAACUACUACGGGAGGCAGCAGUAGGGAAUCUUCGGCAAUGGACGAAAGUCUGACCGAGCAACGCCGCGUGAGUGAAGAAGGGUUUCGGAUCGUAAAAAUCUGUUGGUAGAGAAGAACGUUGGUGAGAGUGGAAAGCUCAUCAAGUGACGGUAACUACCCAGAAAGGGACGGCUAACUACGUG
This 497-nucleotide ribosomal RNA is filed under the name uncultured bacterium. RNAcentral's name for it is "partial 16S ribosomal RNA". It matches the Rfam family "Bacterial small subunit ribosomal RNA", at positions 28 to 507 of the family's 1533-position model. The record is from RNAcentral.